GGAGUUAUUGUCUUAAAUCGACGGUCAGACCGGUUCAUGCGACUCUCUAGUUUAGUGUGAAACCACGUCAUUCUUUUUUUUUUUUGUCAACAUAUUUUUUAUUAUGCCUCUAGGGCCAAUACGUAAACAAGUAGAUACAACAGCCAUCCUAAUAUACAUUCAGUCCAUAUCGAAACCCAACCGAACAAAAGAUAAGAUUAAAACCACGUGUUCGCUAAUAUAAAAACUCUAAAGCAUGAACGACACGUGUACAGUUAGAUGGGUCACGAUGUUUCUAGAGUCAAAGAAAUAGCACUGUCAGUCUCGCCGGAGACAUGCCGGAACGGGAACUUUCAGUAACUUUCUUCGACUAGUUGAAUCUACUUGACUGUUCCUCGUAUCGCUGUUCGCCGUCAAUUAUGCUCGAUUCUUCAUCCGCUCGUUACAAGUGAACUCCGGUGAAUAGCUUCAAAGGGAUGAAAGCUGGGCCUUGCCAAAACGUUUCUGAUAAAGAAACUCCAGCUAAUCUGAGCUUGCUUCUUCUCUCUACGCUUAAUCAAACAACUUAAUCUCUAACACACAAUGGAUACUCCGUCAUAAAAUUCUGCACGCUAAGAUUAAUACCAUAUAUGGGAAGGAAAAAGUGUGAUUAACUAGAAGACUGGAAUCUAACAAAAUCAAACGGGAUAUUGAUUUGCAAAGGAUAGAGAAAUCGGGUUUGGAAAACACACAACAAAAGUCACCUUGCAAAGUUUUUAUCCGAUAAACGGAAGAAAAGAGUCGCCUAACGAAAAUAUUUACAAACAAAAACAAAAAAGGGGUUGGUGACCGGCGGUGGUGAACCCACCGGCCACUAGGAUUGAUUUUUUUUUUUUAACGAAGACUUAGAGAGAGGUUAGAGAAAACAAAGGAAGAGAGAGAGGUUAUUGAAACCACGUCAUUCUAAUAUGACUCAUCCAAUAAAAAGCCAAUAAAUUCUCUUAAUUUUUU
This 969-nucleotide long non-coding RNA is filed under the name Brassica napus (rape). RNAcentral's name for it is "long non-coding RNA (BNAP_LNC023745)". Lineage: Eukaryota; Viridiplantae; Streptophyta; Magnoliopsida; Brassicales; Brassicaceae. The record is from RNAcentral.